Molecule: ribosomal RNA, 481 nt
Filed under: Porcellana sayana
Lineage: Eukaryota; Metazoa; Arthropoda; Malacostraca; Decapoda; Porcellanidae
Description: SSU rRNA
Rfam family: Eukaryotic small subunit ribosomal RNA
Source: RNAcentral
UUGGUAAUUCUGAGCUAAUACAUGCACACAGAGUCCCCGACCGCAAGGGAGGGGCGCUUUUAUUAGUCCAAAACCGGUCGGGCCUCGGUCCGUAACCCACCUGUGGUGAAUCUGAAUAACUUUGAGCUGAGCGCACGGUCUCCGCACUGGCGCCGCAUCUUUCAAGUGUCUGCCUUAUCAGCUUUCGAUUGUAGGUUAUUCGCCUACAAUGGCUAUAACGGGUAACGGGGAAUCAGGGUUCGAUUCCGGAGAGGGAGCCUGAGAAACGGCUACCACAUCUAAGGAAGGCAGCAGGCACGUAAAUUACCCAUUCCCAGACUGGGGAGGUAGUGACGAAAAAUAACGAUGCGAGACUCAUCCGAGGCCUCGCAAUCGGAAUGAGUACACUUUAAAUCCUUUAACGAGGACCCAUUGGAGGGCAAGUCUGGUGCCAGCAGCCGCGGUAAUUCCAGCUCCAAUAGCGUAUAUUAAAGUUUGUUGC